GAUGAACGCUGGCGGCGUGCCUAAUACAUGCAAGUCGAGCGAACAGACGAGGAGCUUGCUUCUCUGAUGUUAGCGGCGGACGGGUGAGUAACACGUGGAUAACCUACCUAUAAGACUGGGAUAACUUCGGGAAACCGGAGCUAAUACCGGAUAAUAUAUUGAACCGCAUGGUUCAAUAGUGAAAGACGGUCUUGCUGUCACUUAUAGAUGGAUCCGCGCUGCAUUAGCUAGUUGGUAAGGUAACGGCUUACCAAGGCAACGAUGCAUAGCCGACCUGAGAGGGUGAUCGGCCACACUGGAACUGAGACACGGUCCAGACUCCUACGGGAGGCAGCAGUAGGGAAUCUUCCGCAAUGGGCGAAAGCUUGACGGAGCAACGCCGCGUGAGUGAUGAAGGUCUUCGGAUCGUAAAACUCUGUUAUUAGGGAAGAACAUAUGUGUAAGUAACUGUGCACAUCUUGACGGUACCUAAUCAGAAAGCCACGGCUAACUACGUG
RNAcentral lists this ribosomal RNA (497 nucleotides) under uncultured bacterium. RNAcentral describes it as "partial 16S ribosomal RNA". It matches the Rfam family "Bacterial small subunit ribosomal RNA", at positions 28 to 507 of the family's 1533-position model. The record is from RNAcentral.